AUUGAACGCUGGCGGCAGGCCUAACACAUGCAAGUCGAGCGGAGCGGCGGACGGGUGAGUAAUGCCUAGGAAUCUGCCUGGUAGUGGGGGAUAACGUCCGGAAACGGGCGCUAAUACCGCAUACUAUCAGAUGAGCCUAGGUCGGAGUAGCUAGUUGGUUGGGUAAAGGCCUACCAAGGCGACGAGCCCUAGCUGGUCUGAGAGGAUGACCAGCCACACGGGAACUGAGACACGGUCCAGACUCCUACGGGAGGCAGCAGUGGGGAAUAUUGCACAAUGGGCGCAAGCCUGAGGCAGCAAUGCCGUGUGAAUGAAGAAGGUCUUCGGAUUGUAAAGUACUUUCAGCGGGGAGGCGUUACCCGCAGAAGAAGCCCCGGCUAACUCCGUGCCAGCAGCCGCGGUAAUAC
This 407-nucleotide ribosomal RNA is filed under the name uncultured bacterium. RNAcentral's name for it is "partial 16S ribosomal RNA". It matches the Rfam family "Bacterial small subunit ribosomal RNA", at positions 29 to 526 of the family's 1533-position model. The record is from RNAcentral.